UACGUAGGGACCGAGCGUUGUCCGGAAUCAUUGGGCGUAAAGAGCGUGUAGGCGGCCACUUAAGUCCUGCGUGAAAUCUUGCGGCUCAACCGCAAGCGGUCGUGGGAAACUGCUGUGCUGGAGUGUGGGAGAGGCGCGUGGAAUUGCAGGUGUAGCGGUGAAAUGCGUAGAUAUCUGCAGGAACACCCGUGGCGAAAGCGGCGCGCUGGACCACUACUGACGCUGAGGAACGAAAGCUAGGGGAGCAAACAGG
This 253-nucleotide ribosomal RNA is filed under the name uncultured bacterium. RNAcentral describes it as "partial 16S ribosomal RNA". It matches the Rfam family "Bacterial small subunit ribosomal RNA", at positions 524 to 776 of the family's 1533-position model. The record is from RNAcentral.